ACACUCAUGAAGCUGAGGGCAGAAGUGGGAGGGAGGGGGCAGUGGCACAAAGCCAGACAAGUUUACCCCACCCUUCCUUUUGGCCUUGACCCCUCAGCCCCAAACCACCCUGCUGUUGGCUAGCCCUUCUGCCUCCUAUGCCGUCAGCACACAAAGGCUGACUCAUACAGAUGCCUGUAUUCAACGCAGGCAGAUUCCCCUGCCUCCAAGAGGCAUUCCCUUGCCAUUUCCAUUAGUGCUCAAGAAGGGGCUGCUUUCAGCAGAGGCAGGAAUAAAGGGAGGCUCAAAACCCCAGGAUGGUUUAUUUGUGGGUAUAGAGUAUGCCACGGCCAUAGGAGCAACUGCAGAGAUGAGCAGGACUUAAGGAUAUACAAUUAACAGAUGAGGCAGAGGCAAAAAGAGACACAAACACAAUGCAAUAGUUUUUAACCUGGCUUGAUUAAUGCUGUCAAGUUGCACAUCUGAGUGUGAGCUCAGUGGGACUGUUGCUUUUGUUUAAUACCACAAGACACCUCAGUCUGGAUUGUUGCAUUACAGUACAAAUAAAAACCAGAAACAAAACCACAUCUGCAUCAUACAGGGUGAGAAGAUGAGAAUCCUAAAUAUUUACAGAGAAGGGCAAGGGGAGAAAACCACAAAAAAUAUUUACAUAAAAAUACAGGAGCUUGUCAGCAUAUACAUUUUACACCAGUUCACAAAAAAAGACACUCUAUAAAUUAAAGUGAAGGGAACUCCAAAGGGAACCCAAGACUUUCUGCGAGGUUUUUCUCUCAUGCGGCUCAGGGAAAGAAAAAUCAAGUCUUUUACAGCAGGAAAAGGAACUGCAAAACAACCCUUUCCUCCUCCCUCCCCACAACCGGAUGAGGCAAGGCUCCACACACACAGGUUUUAUGUCUGUUGAGACCAGACCAUGCCUUUCACCAUCAGGGAUCUGCAGCACGAGGCUCUGGGGAAACUGCUGCUCUCCUAAGCUGCCUCUAAGGGAAGCAAACCAGGUUUUCAUCCAUGUUUCCUAAUGCUUCAGUCACUGUACUGAUGACCAGAGUACACAUGAGGGUCUGUCCCUCUCUGGAGGUAGAGAGGAACAGCAGGUUUUCAAGUUGGUUUUGGUUUGGUGCAGCAACUUACUACCACUGUGCAAUCCUUACUGACACCCCCCCCCCCCCUUCAAACGAUGAGCAUAAAGCCAGGACCUCUGGAAAGACAAUAGGCACAAAGUUGUGGGUGUUUUGUCUGGGCAUAUAGAUUUCACCUGAUAAAGACUCUUUAAAAGGGAGACAUUAAUACUUUACUUAAGACUUCAUAGGGACUAGGUCCUCAUUACCCAACAUCUGCACUCCCCCUGGCUCUAAAGUCUCUGCUCUGAAGCAGAGGUGACAAUCCAGUGUCACCUGCGUGCGUUAGGGAGAACCUUGGCUGGAAACCUGGGAAGUGGCAAUUUCAGACGCAGACAGCUUGUGGCAACUUAGAAGGGUGUUACUUCAGAACAUAGCCGCUUGUCGUAUCACUGGAGAUAGGGUUAGGCAAGGAAUUACUACUCGGGGCAGAAUGGGACUUGCAGUAAGUGUUUUUUGUGUUGCCCUCCCAUUUCUCUGCUAGGACCCUAAGAACUGAACAACCAACUCACAGGUCCUACUCACACAUCUGGUGUAACCCCCCCCUCCUCACCCUGAUGCAUGAUGCCCUCUGUAAGCUCAGCUAUGAUUUGGGGAUGUUUUGACUUGAUGCUGACUCAGUUGAUGAGGAUAACCACAGUACAAAAGGACUGCAUAGUUCACUGUAUGGCUUUGUGCGGGGUGGAUGCGGGACGCCUCCUGAAUUGUACUCAAUGUUUAAGCCAUGGGCAGUAGCUACACUAAAAGAAAGGUGCUGGUGUACUAUUCUCUGGGAAAAGCUGGUGCCUUAACCUUGCUUUCUGUUUGCCUUCUUGCCCUUGUGGCUCAACACUAACGUACAGCAGUUACUUUGGGCUCUCGGAGAGCUUGCAGCCCUUGAAGUACGCGCUCAUGUGGCUGUGUGCAGAGGGACAGUAAGUUCCCUGAUGCCUUUUUUAGAUGGAGACCUUAUUCUCAAGAGGAAGGCUGCGUGUAGCAGCCACCUCACUUCCAGAAGCCCUUUACAGCUUUUCCUUCCCAUGGGUGACAGGGUACUUGGCACCUCACACAAUGCACCGAGCAGCAGGGCCCAGGCUCAGGCAGGAGUAGUGAUAAGCCCGUAAGGAACAGAAAUUGUCCAAGGAUGGCACUAGAGGGAGACAGUGGCUUUGAGCAGGAAAAUCCAGGGAGGCAUUGACAAUUCCUGGGAGCUGGACUCAGCUCCC
Long non-coding RNA from Pezoporus flaviventris, 2320 nucleotides. RefSeq lists it as uncharacterized. Lineage: Eukaryota; Metazoa; Chordata; Aves; Psittaciformes; Psittacidae. The transcript is spliced from 3 exons. The record is from RefSeq and is a predicted model, not a curated record.